RNAcentral lists this long non-coding RNA (1031 nucleotides) under Calidris pygmaea (Spoon-billed sandpiper). RNAcentral's name for it is "lncRNA (ENSCPGG00000016347.1)". Lineage: Eukaryota; Metazoa; Chordata; Aves; Charadriiformes; Scolopacidae. The record is from RNAcentral.
CAUCUUUCCACAGCUUUGCAAUACCUUUCCUGGAAAUGUUUGCCACAGGCUUGAAACUUCCCAGAAGACUCCUGCCAUGAAAGGAAACCUCUCGCAACCCCUGGCUGCCCAUCACAAGGGGGCACAGGAAGCAAAGCUGCUCAGCUCUGGUUCCUGGCGUCAAACACCCUGGCUGUCCCCACACCGACGGUGUCCCCCGGGAAAAGGAUGCCGGGGUGGAGCACGGGGGGGGAAAGCUGCUCCCACCCACCACAGCCAUAAUCUCCUCCAGCUGUGGCCGCUGCAACGUGCCAGCGAGGGAGGGAGAGAGGGGGGACAACAGGAAAAUAACUCCGGAGAGAGAGGACAAGCUCGAAAUAAGAAAUUUGAUUCUGAGCCGGGUGAGGAUACGUGUCUGCUCCCUCCCCGGCACAACCGCAGCUCCAGCACAGGCGUUUCCACUCCCCGGGGACGCAGCCCCCGGUGAGGGAGGUGUUUGCCCAAGGUCCCGCUUCCCUGGGAAUCGCCUGCCCCUCUGGCCCCGAGGCCAAAAGCAAACCCGAUGCCAGCUGUCACCGAUCAAGCCGCAUGGGGAUGGGGCACAGGGUUUCCAACACCGCGAGGCCGGUUGUUUUCUAGCGGAGAAAACGGGAUUUGAACAAUUCCCACCAGCAUCACCGUCGCGUUUCCCCACGUCCCAGCCUGAUUCAUCACGUUAUUCGUGACCUUUCUCGCCGUGAGUCACCAGGACUCCUGCCACACGCCAGAGCCCAGCACGGGGCUGGUGCUGGGGAGCGACGCCGGGCACCCGAGUGGGAGAAAAGGAGCCGUUGCCACCACCAGAAGGUCCCCAGGGGACCCUUCCCACUCGCUGUCUGACGGUCACUGCCACCGCCGCAGCCAGGUUCAGGUUUGCACCCCCAGAGCGUGGGGCUGGGCUGGCAGCGUGCCUCCCGUGGGGCUGUGGCCAACAAGCUCAAAGGCUGGGCGAGAACCCCAGGGACUUUGAGCCAAAGCCGUGCAGGUCAGCAGCACGGGGAGGGCUUCUGGAG